RNAcentral lists this ribosomal RNA (1725 nucleotides) under Pinus taeda (loblolly pine). RNAcentral describes it as "SSU rRNA". It matches the Rfam family "Eukaryotic small subunit ribosomal RNA". Lineage: Eukaryota; Viridiplantae; Streptophyta; Pinopsida; Pinales; Pinaceae. The record is from RNAcentral.
CCUGGUUCGUCCUGUCAGUAGUCAUUUGUUUGUCUCAAAUAUUAAGUCAUGCAUGUCUAAGUAUGAACUAAUUAAGAUUGUGAAACUGCGGAUGGCUCAUUAAAUAAGUUAUAGUUUUUUUUAUGGUACCAUACUACUCAGAUAACCGUAGUAAUUCUAGAGCUAAUACAUGCACCAAGUCCCGACUCUUUGGAAGGGAUGCAUUUUUUAGAUAAAAGAUUGGUGUUGGCUUUCCCACUUCACUAGUGAAUCAUGAUAACUUGACGAAAUGUGUAGCCUUUGUGCUAGCAAUGCUUCAUUCAAAUUUCUGCCCUAUCAACUUUCAAUAAUAGGAUAAAGGCCUACCAUGGUGGUGAUUGGUGAUGGAGAAUUAGGGUUUGAUUUUUGAGAGGGAGCCUAAAAAUGGUUACCACAUCCAAGGAAGGCAGUAGGCGCACAAAUUACCCAAUCCUAACAUGGGUAGGUAGUGACAAUAAAUAACAAUAUUGGGCUCAUCAAGUAUGGUAAUUGGAAUGAGUACAAUCUAAAUCCCUGAAAGAGGAUACAUUGGAGGGAAAUUCUGGUGCCAGUAGGUGCAGUAAUUCCAGAUCCAAUAGCAUAUAUUUAAGUUGUUGUAGUUAAGAAGCUCGUAGUUGGAUCUUGGGUCGUAAAGGUCAGUUUGCCUACUCGAUGUGCACCUGCCCUUCCAUCCCUUUUAUUGGCAGUGUGCUCCUAGCCUUAAUUGGCUAGGUCGUGGCUCCAAUGUUGUUACUUUGAAAAAAUUAGAGUGCUCAAAGCAAGCUUAUGCUAUUAAUACAUUAGCAUGGAAUAGCGUGAUAGGAGUCUCGUCCUAUUAUGUUGGCCUUCGGGACAAAAGUAAUUAUUAAUAGGGACUAUCGAGGGCAUUUGUAUUUCAUUGUCAAAGGUGAAAUUCUUGGAUUUAUGAAAGACAGGCCAUUACGAAAGCAUUUUCCAAGGAUGUUUUCAUUAAUCAAGAAUGAAAUUUGGUGGCUCAAAGAUGAUCAGAUACUAUCCUCAUCUCAACCAUAAACAAUGUCGACCUGGGAUCGGUGGAUGUUGCUCUAAGGACUCUGCCAGCACCUUCUGAAAAAUCAAAGUGUUUGGAUUUUAGGGGGAGUAUAGUCGCAAGGCUAAAACUUAAAGGAAUUGAUGGAAGGGUGCCACCAGGAGUGGAGACUGUGGCUUAAUUUGAAUUAACACAGGGAAACUUAGCAAGUCUAGACAUAGUAAGGAUUGAUAGAUUGAUAGCUCUUUCUUGAUUCUAUGGGUGGUGGUGCAUGGCCGUUCUUAGUUGGUAGAGCAAUUUGUCUAGUUAAUUCCAAUAAUAAGCAACACCUACACCUACUAACUAGCUACACGGAGGUUCCCCUUAGAUGUUCUAGUCCACACACAUGCUACAUUGAUGUAGAAAAUGAAUUUUACUUCCUGGUUCAAGAGCAUCAGAAAAUAUUCUCAAAAUGCAUCAUGAUGGGGAUAGACCAUUGCAACUAUUGGUAUUCAAUGAGGAAUUCCUAGUAAGUGUGUAUCAUCAACUUGUGUUUACUAUGUCCCUGCCCUUUGUACACACCGCUCAUCGCUCCUACCAAUUGAAUGAUCCAGUGUAGUGUUUGGAUUGUGUCGACGAUGGUCGUUUUCCACCAUCAAUGUUGUGAGAAGUUCAUUGAACCUUAUCAUUUAUAGUAAUGAGAAUUCAUAACACGAUUAUCGUAGGUGAACCUGUAGUAG